This is a ribosomal RNA of Danio rerio (zebrafish), 117 nucleotides long. The record is from Ensembl. Lineage: Eukaryota; Metazoa; Chordata; Actinopteri; Cypriniformes; Danionidae.
AGCCACAGCCAUGUCACCUUGCAGACCAAGACUGGUUACUUACUGAAGCUAAUCAGGGCUGAGUCUGGUCAGUACCUUGAUGUGAUACCACAUGGGAAAACUAGGUUGCUGUUGGAA